UGGGGAAUUUUGGACAAUGGGCGCAAGCCUGAUCCAGCCAUGCCGCGUGCGGGAAGAAGGCCUUCGGGUUGUAAACCGCUUUUGUCAGGGAAGAAAUCUUCUGAGUUAAUACCUCGGGAGGAUGACGGUACCUGAAGAAUAAGCACCGGCUAACUACGUGCCAGCAGCCGCGGUAAUACGUAGGGUGCAAGCGUUAAUCGGAAUUACUGGGCGUAAAGCGUGCGCAGGCGGUUUUGUAAGACAGAGGUGAAAUCCCCGGGCUCAACCUGGGAACUGCCUUUGUGACUGCAAGGCUUGAGUGCGGCAGAGGGGGAUGGAAUUCCGCGUGCAGCAGUGAAAUGCGUAGAUAUGCGGGGGGAACACCGAUGGCGAAGGCAAUCCCCCUGGGCCUGCACUGACGCUCAUGCACG
This 410-nucleotide ribosomal RNA is filed under the name uncultured bacterium. RNAcentral's name for it is "partial 16S ribosomal RNA". It matches the Rfam family "Bacterial small subunit ribosomal RNA", at positions 355 to 755 of the family's 1533-position model. The record is from RNAcentral.